GGUCUGAAGGUAGUGAGUUACCUCAACCGAUUGUUCGCAGUCAGUUACAGAUCAAACCCCUUGUUCAGCUCUUUCUACCCUUCUCACUACUGCACUCACCACAA
RNAcentral lists this small RNA (104 nucleotides) under Pan troglodytes (chimpanzee). RNAcentral describes it as "Y RNA (ENSPTRG00000026858.2)". Lineage: Eukaryota; Metazoa; Chordata; Mammalia; Primates; Hominidae. The record is from RNAcentral.